UCUCCGAGCCUCAGUUUCCCCAUCUUCCGAAAGGGGCCUGGCAUAUCCUGGGCAGGCAGAUGGUGGAUCAGAGGUAGUGAGGUGCCUACAAGGAAAUGCUCCCAACAGGGUGGCUUGGAGGAAUCCUCCUUCCUCAGCACUCAUGGGCCGGGCACUGUUCUAGGCCGUGGGGGUGGGGAUCGAGCAGUGGCCACACUGACAAAGCCCCUACCCUUGUGGAAGUGACAUUCUACUGAGGCCAUGGACACGUACAGUACCCAAUCUCCCACCCUCCACCUGCCAGAAUGACAGAGGCUCCCCCAUGGAGAUUCCUGGCAUGCCCAGCCCCACGUCUGGGUUGAGAGUAGUGACUCAGAAGAAAAUGAAGGCUACUGCUAGCAACCAAAUGAGGUCACCGUCAAGAUUCCCGGAUAAAAGUCAUUCAUGAGACACA
RNAcentral lists this long non-coding RNA (433 nucleotides) under Homo sapiens (human). RNAcentral describes it as "novel transcript". Lineage: Eukaryota; Metazoa; Chordata; Mammalia; Primates; Hominidae. The record is from RNAcentral.